UUCUCUUGCAGCGGCAGUGGGUUGAUACAAAUUGUACAUGCCUACCAAAUGAAGUUGUUGUAUUCCUCCUUAAUAUUGAUUUCUUUCAAGCUAAUUAAUUCGGGUUUAUCUCCUACCUUUAGCUAUUAAGACCUGCAUAUAUUUAUUUUUAGAUCCUCUUGAUAAGAUAGUAAGUUUAUCAAUCAAUAUGCAGAAGCCAUGAAGUGGAGUCACAUAACACGGACUGUUAACCUAGUACUAUGCUAACUGUCGAGGUAUGUUUGUCCCAAAAUUGUCUACAAAAUCUCUUACUAGGUUUAUUAAUCAAUUAUUCUUUUCAUAUUAGGUAUGUAUGUAUAUAUCGUUCUAGGUUUUUGUUCUUUAUGCAGGAGCAUGAUCCUUUAAUGAGUUGCUGAAAAAAAGACUAUCUGGAUGUAUAUUUAGCUGGUCAUUUCUAUAUUAAUAUGCUUAUUUAUGUUGGAUUUUUGAACAAAGUCUUGAGAAUAGACUCGUGGCAGUGAAUCUUCGGUUAGUGUUUAUGAAUUAUGUCGAAUCUUUGAAAAAAAGACCAGUUUGAGAAUAUUGUUGGGAUUUUGUGUUUGUUUUAUGGAGUAUUACAUGUUAGUAAUAACUAGUACGUUCAUCUGUGCGGUUCAUGACGAAUAUAGAUAUUAAAUAUGUUUAAAUAAAUAAAUAUAAAUAUUGAAUCGAAUCCAAAUAUAAACAAAUAUAAAAUAAUAUUUUAAUACAUAGAUAUAUAUUUUCAUACCCAAAGGCAAAUAAAAGGUAGUAAAUAAUUAAUGAAGAGAGAAAACAAUAAAAUAUUUUAAAUUUUAAAAAUUUCAUAGCUUAUUUGUUUUAAAUUCAUUUUGCUGAUAUUUAUCAUGUCAAAGAUAUUGUCACAAACUUAUUUAAUGCUUUCAGCCCGAUUAAUUACUUGCUCUUCGGCCUUCUUAUUAUGUUGUGGGCCAAAUUAAAAUAUAAUAAUAAUAAUAAUAAUAAUAAUAAUAAUAAUAAUAAUAAUAAAUUGGGUUUUGGUCCAUAUGCAGAAUUAAUUUAUAUGCACACAGAUUUUUUUUAUGUUUUUUAAAUAUUUUUAAUGCAUAAGUUACCCAUAUAAUUAUAAAAUACUCAACCCCAUAAAACAAUAUCAUAUCUUAUUUUCCUAGAUAUUUUGUAAUAUAUUAACAAGUGUUAAUAGGGGAAAGUACCCACCCCCAUAAUAUAUCUAUGAAAAAUACUCACCCCCCACUCGUCUAGGUGUCCGUCUCAUUUUACCCUCGGAUUUUGCAGGACAGCAGCCCCCGGAUCGUGCAGCUAGGCCGAAACCCUAACGGAUGUCCGUGCGGAGGCACACACGUCGGAGACAUUAGUGAGAUCUCGAGCCUGAAGGUAUUCGACUUAUUUCCCUUGAAUCAUAUGUUGGAUAUAUGACCUGAUUGCCCUUUUUCUUUCAUGAAAAAAAAAUAGUUUUCCUUGCCCGUAUUUAUAAUGAGAUUCACACAAUGUAGUUUGAUCAUUUUCAUUUUAUUUUGAUCAAUUUUCAGGUUUCUCAAAUUCGGACUAGAAAGGGAUUGACAAAAGUUUAUUACAACGUUGGAUAGUUUGUGUGAAUCCUAUGUCAAAUUGAAUUCAACCUUAAACUAGUUAUACAAGCACAAUAUAGUCGAACAUGUUAGAUUUUUUAUGAACUUGUUCGAGGUUUAUCUUUUUUUGAAAUUUGUGGUAGGCAUGAAUAUGUUUGGGGGAUAAAAUCAAACUCUAAUUAUUUAUUCCACGAAAUUGAUAUUUUUAACAAGUGAAUUCGAUA
Molecule: long non-coding RNA, 1789 nt
Filed under: Salvia miltiorrhiza (redroot sage)
Lineage: Eukaryota; Viridiplantae; Streptophyta; Magnoliopsida; Lamiales; Lamiaceae
Description: long non-coding RNA (SMIL_LNC004621)
Source: RNAcentral